Molecule: transfer RNA, 83 nt
Filed under: Klebsiella ornithinolytica
Lineage: Bacteria; Pseudomonadati; Pseudomonadota; Gammaproteobacteria; Enterobacterales; Enterobacteriaceae
Description: Raoultella ornithinolytica tRNA-Gly(ccc)
Source: RNAcentral
CGGGUCGCCGCAUGCGGCGAUGCAAAAUCGUUCCCGACGAUUUUGUCGAACCUGCGGCAGGUUCUCAUCCUGCACGGUCGGGC